AUUGAACGCUGGCGGAAUGCUUUACACAUGCAAGUCGAACGGCAGCACGGACUUCGGUCUGGUGGCGAGUGGCGAACGGGUGAGUAAUGUAUCGGAACGUGCCCAGUCGUGGGGGAUAACGUAGUGAAAAUUACGCUAAUACCGCAUACGAUCUAUGGAUGAAAGCGGGGGAUCGCAAGACCUCGCGCGAUUGGAGCGGCCGAUAUCAGAUUAGGUAGUUGGUGGGGUAAAGGCCCACCAAGCCAACGAUCUGUAGCUGGUCUGAGAGGACGACCAGGCACACUGGAACUGAGACACGGUCCAGACUCCCACGGGAGGCAGCAGUGGGGACUUUUGGACAAUGGGCGAAAGCCUGAUCCAGCCAUUCCGCGUGCAGGAUGAAGGCCCUCGGUUUGUAAACUGCUUUUGUACAGAACGAAAAGGUUUCUACUAAUACUAGGAGCUCAUGACGGUACUGUAAGAAUAAGCACCGGCUAACUACGUGCCAGCCGCCGCAGUAA
RNAcentral lists this ribosomal RNA (500 nucleotides) under uncultured bacterium. RNAcentral describes it as "partial 16S ribosomal RNA". It matches the Rfam family "Bacterial small subunit ribosomal RNA", at positions 30 to 523 of the family's 1533-position model. The record is from RNAcentral.